RNAcentral lists this long non-coding RNA (676 nucleotides) under Monodelphis domestica (gray short-tailed opossum). RNAcentral's name for it is "lncRNA (ENSMODG00000038966.1)". The record is from RNAcentral. Lineage: Eukaryota; Metazoa; Chordata; Mammalia; Didelphimorphia; Didelphidae.
ACUAGAUUAGCUUCAACUUGGCAUCUAAGGAUCUAUGUUAGAGUGAUGCCACAGAGGUAUCCAUAGUCCCAAUAGAAUUUUCUUCUUGAGAAUAGGACCAGUUUCAAUUUUGUAUUUGUAUCCCUAGCUACUGUAAUAACGCCUGUUAUAUUGUAGGUCCUUAAUACAUUCUUAUUAAGUGAUUGCCUGACACUUCAGAGGUUUCCUCACUACAUUCCUCCAAGCUGGAACAUUUACAACUUCUGACAGCAAUAGAAGAAGGAAUUCCCCAUAUGUCCUGCCAGCCCCUGAGAAUGUCCUUCCCCAGUCUAAUUAUUGGGUACCACCCUCCUUUCCUGAGGUAGAAUACAACAGCCAGUCAUGUGAGAAGCUUCAAGAAAAUUUAAAUGCCUCCUUGCCCUCAAAUACCUUCCCACUGACCUGCCACAGUGCUCAAGACUCCAACCAGUAAAGAAGUGAUUCUUUUGUAUUAAAUCACUGACAAAAAGAAAGGCUUCAUAUACCCCAAGAUAUUUAAAGUAACUUUUUUGUGGAAGUAAAGAACUAGAAAAAAAGUAGGUGCCUCUUAACUGAGAUAUGGCCAAACAAAUUAUGACAUAUUAAUGAAAUAUUACUGCAAUGUAAGAAACUACAAAUAUGCUGAAUACAGAAAAUUGUGGAAAAAUUUUAUAUGAAC